This 446-nucleotide ribosomal RNA is filed under the name uncultured bacterium. RNAcentral describes it as "partial 16S ribosomal RNA". It matches the Rfam family "Bacterial small subunit ribosomal RNA", at positions 338 to 795 of the family's 1533-position model. The record is from RNAcentral.
CCUACGGGGGGCAGCAGUCGAGAAUCAUUCACAAUGGGGGAAACCCUGAUGGUGCGACGCCGCGUGGGGGAAUGAAGGUCUUCGGAUUGUAAACCCCUGUCAUGUGGGAGCAAAUUAAAAAGAUAGUACCACAAGAGGAAGAGACGGCUAACUCUGUGCCAGCAGCCGCGGUAAUACAGAGGUCUCAAGCGUUGUUCGAAAUCACUGGGCGUAAAGCGUGCGUAGGCUGUUUCGUAAGUCGUGUGUGAAAGGCGCGGGCUCAACCCGCGGACGGCACAUGAUACUGCGAGACUAGAGUAAGGGAGGGGGAACCGGAAUUCUCGGUGUAGCAGUGAAAUGCGUAGAUAUCGAGAGGAACACUCGUGGCGAAGGCGGGUUCCUGGACAUUAACUGACGCUGAGGCACGAAGGCCAGGGGAGCGAAAGGGAUUAGAUACCCGAGUAGUC